GACGAACGCUGGCGGCGUGCUUAACACAUGCAAGUCGAGCGAGAAAGCUCCUUCGGGAGCGAGUACAGCGGCGAACGGGUGAGUAACACGUGGGCAACCUGCCCAAGGGAGCGGGACAACCCGGGGAAACUCGGGCUAAUACCGCAUGAUGCGUCAUGUCUCAAGGCGUGACGCCAAAAGGUAGCUUCGGCCUCCGCCCUUGGAUGGGCCCGCGGCGCAUUAGCUUGUUGGUGGGGAACGGCUCACCAAGGCGACGAUGCGUAGCUGGUCUGAGAGGACGAUCAGCCACACUGGGACUGAGACACGGCCCAGACUCCUACGGGAGGCAGCAGUGGGGAAUCUUGCGCAAUGGGCGAAAGCCUGACGCAGCAACCGCCGCGU
Molecule: ribosomal RNA, 381 nt
Filed under: uncultured bacterium
Lineage: Bacteria
Description: bacterial SSU rRNA
Rfam family: Bacterial small subunit ribosomal RNA
Source: RNAcentral